Molecule: transfer RNA, 76 nt
Filed under: Leptolyngbya sp. NIES-3755
Lineage: Bacteria; Bacillati; Cyanobacteriota; Cyanophyceae; Leptolyngbyales; Leptolyngbyaceae
Description: tRNA-Arg
Rfam family: tRNA
About the family: Transfer RNA (tRNA) molecules are approximately 80 nucleotides in length. Their secondary structure includes four short double-helical elements and three loops (D, anti-codon, and T loops). Further hydrogen bonds mediate the characteristic L-shaped molecular structure. tRNAs have two regions of fundamental functional importance: the anti-codon, which is responsible for specific mRNA codon recognition, and the 3' end, to which the tRNAs corresponding amino acid is attached (by aminoacyl-tRNA synthetases). tRNAs cope with the degeneracy of the genetic code in two manners: having more than one tRNA (with a specific anti-codon) for a particular amino acid; and 'wobble' base-pairing, i.e. permitting non-standard base-pairing at the 3rd anti-codon position.
Source: RNAcentral
UGGGGCUGUAGCUCAGCAGGAUAGAGCGAUCGCCUCCUAAGCGAUAGGUCAUGGGUUCAAAUCCCAUCAGUCCCGU